UUGUAUUACCAAUCCUAGAAA
This 21-nucleotide non-coding RNA is filed under the name Caenorhabditis elegans. The record is from RNAcentral. Lineage: Eukaryota; Metazoa; Nematoda; Chromadorea; Rhabditida; Rhabditidae.